This 481-nucleotide ribosomal RNA is filed under the name uncultured bacterium. Its description in RNAcentral is "partial 16S ribosomal RNA". It matches the Rfam family "Bacterial small subunit ribosomal RNA", at positions 28 to 507 of the family's 1533-position model. The record is from RNAcentral.
GAUGAACGCUGGCGGCGUGCUUAACACAUGCCAGUCGAACGAAGCACUUUAUUUGAUUUCCUUCGGGACUGAUUAUUUUGUGACUGAGUGGCGGACGGGUGAGUAACGCGUGGGUAACCUGCCUUGUACAGGGGGAUAACAGUUGGUAACGGCUGCUAAUACCGCAUAAGCGCACGGCAUCGCAUGAUGCAGUGUGAAAAACUCCGGUGGUAUAAGAUGGACCCGCGUUGGAUUAGCUAGUUGGUGAGGUAACGGCCCACCAAGGCGACGAUCCAUAGCCGACCUGAGAGGGUGACCGGCCACAUUGGGACUGAGACACGGCCCAAACUCCUACGGGAGGCAGCAGUGGGGAAUAUUGCACAAUGGGCGAAAGCCUGAUGCAGCGACGCCGCGUGAGCGAAGAAGUAUUUCGGUAUGUAAAGCUCUAUCAGCAGGGAAGAUAAUGACGGUACCUGACGAAGAAGCACCGGCUAAAUACGUG